This 774-nucleotide long non-coding RNA is filed under the name Homo sapiens (human). RNAcentral describes it as "HSALNT0036248". Lineage: Eukaryota; Metazoa; Chordata; Mammalia; Primates; Hominidae. The record is from RNAcentral.
UGAGACUGGGGCCUCGCUCGCUCCCGACCCGGUUGCAAGUGUUGCGGUGGGAGAAAGUCGCGUCCGCAUCGGAGGGGAAGCGCCGUCAUGCCUAAGUAUUAUGAGGACAAGCCGCAGGGCGGCGCGUGCGCGGGCCUGAAGGAGGACCUGGGCGCGUGUCUGCUGCAGUCGGACUGUGUGGUCCAGGUAGCGCGGCCGGGCGCUCCCGGUGGUGACGACCCCUGUCCCAGGCAGGCCUGGCUCGGCGGAGGGCAGCGGGUCGCCCGCGGCGGCGGUUGGAGUUAACCAUCCCGGGCGUAGGUCACAGCUCGGGCUCACUGAACGUGCGCAGAUCCACUGAGCUGUCGGAGCCCCAGUUCCCUGUGGGGUUAAAUCGGAGAUAACGAUAAACGCACCCUGUCGGGUUUUUGUAAAGGAAGGAAAAUCACCUCGGCAGUGUUUGAAGGAAGGAUACUGCAACUCUUUGAAGUACGCAUUUUUUGAGUGUAAAAGAUCAGUGUUGGAUAACAGGGCAAGAUUCAGAGGAAGAAAAGGAUAUUGAUGCAUUAUGUUGAAGCCAACAUGGAAAACAACAAAUAUUUUCCCUGGUCAUUAACACAAAGAAGCCAAAACAGGAAACAUACUUUUUACUACAUCUGUUUGGUUGGACCAGAUUUCCCCUCCGUGGAACACUGAAGAAAGUGGAUGAGUUGUUUUCGAAUAUGUAUAAAGUAAAUGAUUCUCUUGAUCCAAGUUAUUUUUAGAAGAAAAACCUAAUUGAACAGGUAUGGGUUG